This 1146-nucleotide ribosomal RNA is filed under the name Triticum aestivum (bread wheat). Its description in RNAcentral is "partial small subunit ribosomal RNA". Lineage: Eukaryota; Viridiplantae; Streptophyta; Magnoliopsida; Poales; Poaceae. The record is from RNAcentral.
AUGGCGUCGUCGUCGUCGUCGCCGCCGGCGCGCCGCUCCGUGUUCGACGCCGCCUACAUCCGCGCGGAGUUCGACGCCGCCGGCAUCUCCCCCACCUUCAUCCCUACCAUCUGGAAGUACGUGCUGCAGAACCCUAGGUGCAGCGACCUCGACGGCGUCCCGUCCCUCUCGGCGGCCGCGUACGCGCUCCUGCGGAACAAGUUCCGGCCGACCACCUCGACCCUCACCGCCGCCGCCGAAUCCAAGGACCGCACCACCACCAAGUUGCUCAUCCGCCUCCAGAAUGGGGAAUCUGUAGAAGCAGUGAUUAUGCGGUAUGAUUCACGACUGGGGAAGUAUGAUGGGAAGACACGCCCUGGAGGAGUGCGUUCAACCCUGUGUGUAUCAUCACAGGUUGGGUGCAAGAUGGGCUGUAGAUUCUGUGCUACCGGAACAAUGGGAUUCAAAAGCAACCUUUCCUCUGGAGAAAUUGUUGAGCAGCUGGUCCAUGCAACCCGCUAUUCUCAAAUUCGAAACAUUGUUUUCAUGGGAAUGGGGGAGCCAUUAAACAACUAUACUGCUUUGGUUGAAGCAAUCCAAGUCUUGACAGGAUUUCCCUUUCAGAUUUCACCCAAGAGAGUUACUGUAUCUACUGUUGGGAUUAUCCAUUCGAUCAACAAGUUCAACAAUGAUCUUCCAAAUAUAAAUUUAGCUGUGUCAUUGCAUGCUCCUGACCAAGACAUACGAUGUCAUAUAAUGCCUGCUGCACGGGCCUUUCCUUUAGCAAAGCUAAUGAAUGCAUUACAAUCGUAUCAAAAUGCGAGCAAGCAGACAAUCUUCAUUGAGUACAUUAUGCUUGAUGGAGUGAACGAUCAGGAGGAGCAUGCCCACAAGCUUGGUAAACUACUUGAAAAUUUUAAAGCGGUUGUUAACCUGAUACCAUUCAAUCCAAUUGGCUCAGCGAGCACGUUCAAGACAAGCAGUGACCAGAGCAUCAAGAAGUUUCAGAAGGUCCUGAGAGGCAUCUACAGCAUCAGAACGACCGUUCGCCAGGAGAUGGGUCAAGACAUAGCCGGUGCCUGUGGGCAGUUGGUGGUUAGCCUGCCCGACGAAAGAUCGGCAGGCGGGGCCACCCUUCUGUCAGAUAUAGAAGAUCUCAGGAUCUGA